AGCCACACAGAUCUAUGCCUCAGAUUCUCCACCGAGUUUGCUAGCAGCUAUUAACACCGUUUUUGGUUCCCCGUUCUUGCCGAAGUUCUGAGAAGAUGGCAAGAAGCAGAGGGCCCUGGUCUAUCGUGUUACCACUGUUGCUGCUAAUGCUCCUUCAAUUACUCAUCAUCGUGCUCGCCCGUCCAAUUGAAACCCAUCCUGCACCGGCACCACCAAAUGGUUUUUGUAAGCAGUUCUAGAUCACAUGUCACAAGUUCAUGAUUUUCUACUUAUUUUUAGAUGACAAGUGCAUGAUUUUGAUCCGAUCAUAUUACUCCUUUUUGGUAUAACCUUUUCCACACAACUUUCCAACCCAAUACAAUGAAUAUGUGGUCAUGUUUUUUUUGUGUAGUCAAGUUUUCUUGUCAGCAUAUUAAAAGUGUCUUUUUUCUAACUUCGGCAAAGAAUUAAAUUGACUAGGUUUUAAAUCUACCUGAUAGAGUAAUGUUGAUUUUUUUUACUCCGUCACACAAAUCAAAACUCGAGUCGAUUUUGGAGUAUUAGUAACCACCUCACCGCUGAGGCGAUUAACAUAUAGCUACCUAUCUUACCCUGUUUUUUGGAUCCAUGUGCAGGUGACUAUCUUGAUAAAAGGAACUGCAAGUGAAGCUGGAAGCAUCUGUGCUCCUGGUCCGUUCAGUUUCCCAUGGAAUGAAUUAAAGUCGGAAAAAUUUCUACUGUUGGGAAUUCAACAGUUGGGCAAGCUUGUUGGCUGUAAAGUCAAACAGAUCAGAUGAUCAAGAAGUGCAGGCUGCUUGCAUGGAAAUCAUGUACUACUUUUUUGGUGAAUAAUUUCUUUGGCAAUAUGUUUUCUUACUCGCAAUAUAUCAAUCUAGGAUGUGUGUUAAUUCGUGUACUCCUAAUUCUAAACAAAGGCUGAUGGGG
This 924-nucleotide long non-coding RNA is filed under the name Triticum aestivum (bread wheat). RNAcentral's name for it is "long non-coding RNA (TAES_LNC012673)". Lineage: Eukaryota; Viridiplantae; Streptophyta; Magnoliopsida; Poales; Poaceae. The record is from RNAcentral.